Molecule: long non-coding RNA, 301 nt
Organism: Boleophthalmus pectinirostris (great blue-spotted mudskipper)
Lineage: Eukaryota; Metazoa; Chordata; Actinopteri; Gobiiformes; Gobiidae
Exons: 4
Source: RefSeq, a predicted model, not a curated record
GCAGGUGUAGUGACAGAGUGACAGGUGUAGUGACAGGUGUAGUGACAGAGUGACAGGUGUAGUGACAGAGUGACAGGUGUAGUGACAGGUGUAGUGACAGGUGUAGUGACAGGUGUAGUGACAGAGUGACAGGUGUAGUGACAGGUGUAGUGACAGGUUGACAGGUGUAGUGACAGGUGUAGUGACAGAGUGACAGGUGUAGUGACAGGUGUAGUGACAGAGUGACAGGUGUAGUGACAGGUGUAGUGACAGGUGUCUGAGCGCGGCUGGAAGGACGGCAUCUCCUGCGAGCUGAUUGGCU